This 549-nucleotide long non-coding RNA is filed under the name Chinchilla lanigera (long-tailed chinchilla). RNAcentral's name for it is "lncRNA (ENSCLAG00000024690.1)". The record is from RNAcentral. Lineage: Eukaryota; Metazoa; Chordata; Mammalia; Rodentia; Chinchillidae.
GCGUACCCAGCCCGGCUGCACGACGCAGGCCUAGGCGAGGGCUCAGGACAGAGCGGUGCCAGGCGCUGAGGUCGGUGUCAGCCCAGCUGCGGAGCAGUUUUCCAGGGCUGAGCGCGGAGCUGCCUGUGCUUCUGCAGGGGAACAAUGAGCUUGUGCAUCUGUGGGAACUCUCGUGCCCGCUGGGCGCUCAGCUCGGAGUCCCAGAAUAUCAGACACAAUUAUAUUCAAAUUUAUAUCUUACAGACCAUAGACUUGCCCUGGUAUGCCUGGAACUUGGAAGAAUGCAAACCAUGCUAAUUGAUAUAGAUCAGCUCUUUGUUUACACUUUACUACAAAGAUUCAAGUAAUCAAGUUUAUCAAACACAUAACUGGAAAAAGCAGUUAACGCAAGAAUAUAACGUGGUUGUUGUCUCCACCUACGUCAUAUUACACCCUUGGUGUUGGAGUGGACUUCAUGAAGUGAAGGUAAGUCUUAGUUCCAGUAAUUAAUGCACACAUUAAAGGAAAACAUUUUGAGGCUACAAUAUAGAUACAGCAACUUGCUCUUUU